GGCGGACGGGUGAGGAANACAUCGGAAUCUACUUUUUCGNGGGGGAUAACGUAGGGAAACUUACGCUNAUACCGCAUACGACCUACGGGUGAAAGCAGGGGAUCUUCGGACCUUGCGCGAUUGAAUGAGCCGAUGUCGGAUUAGCUAGUUGGCGGGGUAAAGGCCCACCAAGGCGACGAUCCGUAGCUGGUCUGAGAGGAUGAUCAGCCACACUGGAACUGAGACACGGUCCAGACUCCUACGGGAGGCAGCAGUGGGGAAUAUUGGACAAUGGGCGCAAGCCUGAUCCAGCCAUACCGCGUGGGUGAAGAAGGCCUUCGGGUUGUAAAGCCCUUUUGUUGGGAAAGAAAUCCAGCCGGCUAAUACCUGGUUGGGAUGACGGUACCCAAAGAAUAAGCACCGGCUAACUUCGUGCC
This 416-nucleotide ribosomal RNA is filed under the name Stenotrophomonas maltophilia. Its description in RNAcentral is "bacterial SSU rRNA". It matches the Rfam family "Bacterial small subunit ribosomal RNA", at positions 97 to 509 of the family's 1533-position model. The record is from RNAcentral. Lineage: Bacteria; Pseudomonadati; Pseudomonadota; Gammaproteobacteria; Lysobacterales; Lysobacteraceae.